This 61-nucleotide transfer RNA is filed under the name Sinella curviseta. Its description in RNAcentral is "tRNA-Arg". Lineage: Eukaryota; Metazoa; Arthropoda; Collembola; Entomobryomorpha; Entomobryidae. The record is from RNAcentral.
GAGUGAGAAGCGAAAAUUCGCUUUCAGUUUCGACCUGAACCUUGGUUAAAGCCCUCUCUUU